This 36-nucleotide non-coding RNA is filed under the name unclassified sequences. RNAcentral describes it as "DUF805b RNA". It matches the Rfam family "DUF805b RNA". Rfam says of the family: Bacteroidetes, Chlorobi (1 example), Proteobacteria. Lineage (Flavobacteria) The record is from RNAcentral.
AAGGCGAAUCCCGAAGAGCCUAUAAUAGAGUAGGGA